RNAcentral lists this transfer RNA (77 nucleotides) under bacterium. RNAcentral describes it as "tRNA-Met". It matches the Rfam family "tRNA". Rfam says of the family: Transfer RNA (tRNA) molecules are approximately 80 nucleotides in length. Their secondary structure includes four short double-helical elements and three loops (D, anti-codon, and T loops). Further hydrogen bonds mediate the characteristic L-shaped molecular structure. tRNAs have two regions of fundamental functional importance: the anti-codon, which is responsible for specific mRNA codon recognition, and the 3' end, to which the tRNAs corresponding amino acid is attached (by aminoacyl-tRNA synthetases). tRNAs cope with the degeneracy of the genetic code in two manners: having more than one tRNA (with a specific anti-codon) for a particular amino acid; and 'wobble' base-pairing, i.e. permitting non-standard base-pairing at the 3rd anti-codon position. RNAcentral also lists the same sequence under 2 other names. The record is from RNAcentral.
CGCGGAGUAGAGCAGUUGGUAGCUCGUCGGGCUCAUAACCCGGAGGUCAUGAGGUUCAAGUCCCAUCUCCGCAACCA